GAUGAAGAACGCAGCGAAAUGCGAUACUUGGUGUGAAUUGCAGAAUCCCGUGAACCAUCGAGUCUUUGAACGCAAGUUGCGCCCGAAGCCAUUAGGCCGAGGGCACGCCUGCCUGGGCGUCACACGUCGUUGCCCCCCCAUCUACUCCUUCGGGAUUGCGGGGGGCGGAUGAUGGCCUCCCGUGCGCCUCGUCGCGCGGUUGGCAUAAAUGCCAAGUCCUCGGCGACGCUCGCCACGACAAUCGGUGGUUGCGAAACCUCGGUUGCCCGUCGUGUGCGGUCGUCGCGCAUCGAGGGCUCGAAAAAAUUGCCGGGCUCCGGCUCGGCUUUCAACGCGACCCCAGGUCAGGCGGGGUUACCCGCUGAAUUUAAGCAUAUCAAUAAGCGGAGGA
Molecule: unclassified non-coding RNA, 391 nt
Filed under: soil metagenome
Description: partial contains 5.8S ribosomal RNA, internal transcribed spacer 2, and large subunit ribosomal RNA
Rfam family: 5.8S ribosomal RNA (bases 1-122)
Source: RNAcentral